UGGGGAAUCUUAGACAAUGGGGGCAACCCUGAUCUAGCCAUGCCGCGUGAGUGAAGAAGGCCUUAGGGUUGUAAAGCUCUUUCACCUGUGAGGAUAAUGACAGUAGCAGGAUAAGAAGGACCGGCUAACUCCGUGCCAGCAGCCGCGGUAAGACGGAGGGUCCUAGCGUUGUUCGGAAUGACUGGGCGUAAAGAGUACGUAGGCGGUUUAGUUAGUUAGAUGUGAAAGCCCAGGGCUUAACCUUGGAACUGCAUUUAAUACUGCUAAACUUGAGAUCGGAAGAGGAAAGCGGAAUUCCUAGUGUAGAGGUGAAAUUCGUAGAUAUUAGGAGGAACAUCAGAGGCGAAGGCGGCUUUCUGGUCCGAUACUGACGCUGAGGUACGAAAGCGUGGGGAGCAAA
This 400-nucleotide ribosomal RNA is filed under the name uncultured bacterium. Its description in RNAcentral is "bacterial SSU rRNA". It matches the Rfam family "Bacterial small subunit ribosomal RNA", at positions 355 to 772 of the family's 1533-position model. The record is from RNAcentral.